RNA transcript from Phascolarctos cinereus (koala), 5729 nucleotides. It is a transcript of the gene named ubinuclein 1, with no coding region annotated. The record is from RefSeq and is a predicted model, not a curated record. NCBI's taxonomy places the organism in Eukaryota, Metazoa, Chordata, Mammalia, Diprotodontia, Phascolarctidae.
CGUUGCGCCCCAUCCCGCACCCCAUCCCCCGCCCCCACCCCCGCGGCUCCUGGGGCCGUCCCCUCUCUGUCCGGACAGAGCCCGAGCCUGAAUCCUUGCUCUUUCCCCAGCCCAUCACUGGGCCGGUCCGCGGCUUUCGCCAUAGGAGUCCCUGGACGGAGCCUUGGACUCGUGCCCUCUGUGCGGCCUGGAGUCUGGUCCUUAGUCUGCACCUGCGCCUUCGGCUGUCCCCGGCCUGGGGUGGGUUGGGGACUGUGUUCUGCGCUCCUUACGUCAAUGUAGCAGCUCCUGUGCCCGGGGCGGGGGAGGCUGCUGGGGUCACUGCUCCCCCUAGGGCUCGGGAUGAGGCGACCCGUCUUGUAACUAGCGCUCGGAGAUGCUGCCUACCCCCUGGCCUAGGAGCCCCGCGUGGGCUGUGUCCGGCUGUGCAGAGCGCCCCUCGGCACCUCGCUUAGUUUGGAGCACCAUGCUUCCUGGGGCGACCAGUGCCUCUCGAGCCACCUUAGCCACGCUGCAAAAGCCCGCAACAGCAACUUUGCAACGAUAACUGGAAGUCUUCCUGUUUUCUCUUUAGUUGUUUCAGGUGUCUUGAGGGCAUUUCUUCUGAAAGGGCUUUCUUAGGACUCGCCAACUCUGGGAAUGGGCAUUGAGGCUAGAUGGGCAGCACGUUUGUAGGCAUGCUGCAAGACCCAACGGACAGACAAAGUUGUGGCAUAUGGGUCUCACCCCAUCAUGAGGAAAGCCGGCUGGAGAUCAGGUCCAUUUCAAGGUGCUAUAUCUCAGAACGGCACUUGUGACAAAGAAGCCAUUGCAGUAGCCACUGCCAAGACUUGAGUGUAGCCAUGACUGAGCCCCACAGGGUCCAGUUUACCUCUCUCCCAGGCCCUCUGAAUCCUACAUUUCUGAAGAAACCCCGAAAAGAGGAGAUUGGGGGAGCAGAGCAGCACCAGGACUCUGAACCCACUGCAGCAGCUGUUCGAAUCACACUUACCCUCUUCGAACCAGAUCACAAGCGCUGUCCGGAGUUCUUCUACCCAGAGCUAGUGAAGAAUACAAGGGGUAAAGUGAAAAGUCUUCAAGUUGGAGACAAGAAGAAAGAUGUCUUGGACCCUUUCAAUGAUGAAGAAAAGGAAAGGCAUAAGGUGGAAGCUCUUGCUCGGAAAUUUGAGGAGAAAUAUGGUGGAAAAAAGCGCAGGAAGGACAGAAUGCAGGAUUUAAUUGACAUGGGUUAUGGGUACGAUGAAUCCGAUUCCUUCAUCGAUAACUCUGAAGCAUAUGAUGAGCUUGUUCCUGCUUCUCUGACCACAAAGUAUGGAGGAUUUUAUAUUAACUCGGGCACACUGCAGUUCAGACAAGCAUCAGAGUCUGAGGAUGACUUCAUUAAAGAAAAGAAGAAGAAAUCUCCUAAGAAGCGGAAGUUGAAAGAAGGUGGUGAGAAGAUAAAGAAGAAGAAAAAAGAUGACUCUUAUGACAAGGAGAAGAAAUCGAAAAAGUCCAAGUUUCCCAAAGCCGGCUUCACAGCACUGAAUGCCAGUAAGGAGAAGAAGAAAAAGAAAUACUCUGGAGCUCUAAGUGUUAAGGAAAUGUUAAAGAAAUUUCAGAAGGAGAAAGAAGCUCAGAAGAAGAGGGAUGAGGAACAUAAGCCAAUAACAGUGUCACCUGCUGAAACUCAGAGUACACGGGAGGUGGAAAGCAUGCCAGAUCCCUUGCUCUCAUUCUUUGGCUCUGCUUCUGACAAUGACCUGCUUCAGGCAGCUACUGCCAUGGACUCACUGACUGAUCUGGACUUAGAACAGCUCCUCAGUGAGUCUCCAGAAGGAAGUCCAUUUCAUGAUGUAGAUGAUGAAAGUGAUUCUCUUGGGGUAGGAUUGGACCAGGAAUUCAAACAACCCCCUUCCCUGCCAGAAGGACUGCCAGUGUCCCUGGAGAAACGUAUCAAGGAGCUGGCUCAGGCUGCCAGAACUGCUGAGGGAGAGAGCAGACAGAGGUUCUUCACCCAGGAUAUUAAUGGCAUCUUGCUGGACAUAGAGGUGCGGUCUCGGGAGCUGAAUAGCCAGAUCCGUUCUGGGGUGUAUGCCUAUCUCGCUUCAUUCCUGCCCUGCAGCAAGGAUACUCUGGUCAAACGUGCUCGCAAACUUCAUCUCUAUGAGCAGGGAGGGCGUCUGAAGGAACCUCUGCAGAAACUUAAGGAAGCUAUUGGCAGGGCAAUGCCGGAGCAGAUGGCCAAAUACCAGGAAGAGUGCCAGGCACAUACACAAGCAAAGUUUGCUAAGAUGCUGGAGGAGGAGAAAGACAAGGACCAGAGAGAACGUAUUUGUUCUGAUGAGGAGGAAGAUGAAGAGAAAGGGGGUAAACGCAUCAUGGGACCCCGGAAGAAAUUCCAGUGGAAUGAUGAAAUCAGGGAGUUGCUCUGCCAUGUGGUGAAGAUGAAACUGGAUGGCUAUGAUUUGGAGAGGAAUAAGGCUCAGUCCUGGGAAGAUUAUGUGAAAGCUUUUCUGGAUGCUGAAGUCAAACCCCUCUGGCCCAAGGGCUGGAUGCAGGCCAGGACUCUGUUUAAGGAGAGUAGGCGUGGACAUGGACAUCUGACAUCAAUCCUGGCCAAGAAGAAAGUCAUGACUGCUGCCAAGGUCAGAGUGAAGGAUUCUUCCACCAAACUUGAUAAGAAAGUUUCAGUUCCAUCAGGACAAUCCAGUGGCUCCAUUGUUUUGCCUUCAGAGCAGCAUCAGGGAAUGGGUAUGAGCAUUGGUGCUUCAGCCAGGGAGUUGUCAUCUCUGGGUGCUUCUCAAACAUCCAGCAAUAUUGCUAAUCCUGCUUCUUUCAACCUGGAGGACUCACUGGAUGAAGACUUAAUUCAUAAUCCAACCUCUUCAUUGGAAGCAGUGUCUAAGGAACUGGCUGCAUUGAACAGCAGAGCAAGUGGGAGUCCUGAAUUCAUUCUUCAUGUGCCCCCAAAGACCCCUACAGAUAAAGUAACAAGUUCUGAGGAAAAAAGAAACUUCCCUAAGUCCAAUUCUUCUGCUCCAUCACCUGCUAGCUCGCUACAGUCACCUCUUAAUUUCUUGGCUGAACAGGCACUGGCACUGGGGCAGUCUUCUCAGGAGAAAAAAACAGAUAAUUCUAGUUACAAAGAGCUCUCUUGCCAGGCUUCCCCCAGUAAAACCUUGUCCGAAGCACACCAGUCUAAACUUAAGCACCAUAAUUUGCCACGGACAUCUCAUGGACCACAAACAUCACCUCUGGUGCCCACCCCCCAAGUUAAAGUUUUUCAUUCAAGUAAUCAGCAGCAGAAAAACUUCACACCCCCAGCUCCAUUUGUCAAUAAGCUCCAGAGCCCAAAGGCUGCCUCCCCUCUGGCCCAGCGAUCCCUCCUGCAACAGGUCAAGACGUCGACCAAAGGUCCAAGCUUCCACUCCUCAGCAUCUCCCUCUUCGGGUAGCACCCCAGCCUCUAGUAGUACUCAUAAGAGCCCUGGCUCCUCCACAGCUUCUUUGGGUUAUACAGGGAAGCACUCAUCCAGUUCUUCAGGACAAUCUUACAAGUCUCCCUUUGUUGCUGGCUCUUUCUCUAAACAUGGGGUUUCUUCUAGCACUUCUUCAUCUGGAGUAUCUUCAGUCCAGAGCUCUGCAUCUGGGAGCUCACUAUCUGGUGUACAGGCUUCCUCCUCUAGCCAGCCUUCCAGCCGGCCAGUACCAAGUUCUGCAUUGAAGAAACCUCCAGUUUCCCAGAAGCUGACUUUAGUGGCGCCACCUGGUGGCCCAAAUGGAGAUUCUAGUGGUGGGACACAGGGGGUGGCCAAGUUACUGACCUCUUCCCUUAAGCCAGCUGUGGUUAGUAGUGCUACAUCAUCUACCUCCUUGCCAAAAGGAACAAGUGGAGCUGUACUGCUAACCAGCUCCUCUUCCUUAAGUGUACUGUCACCAUCCUAUAAGUCCAGCAGUUCUAAACUGUCCGGAGGCCUGAACUCAACACCACUGGGGAUUUUAUCUCCUCUCCACACUUUCCCUCUCCAUGUGAUCUCCUUUAGUGCAGACUCAUCUCCCAAAGCAGGAGUCUCCAAGGAUGCCAUUGUUACAGGCCCUGCCCCUGGAACUUUCCACCAUGGCCUGAGUCACAGUCUUCUGGCUGGCUUGCACUCCAGCCCGCACCAUGCAGCGCCUCUCCCACACUCUGCCUUGUCUACCCAUAUUCCGCAGAGUCUGCCAGUAGAACAGAAGGGGAGGCAGUGCACUAUCCCCAUAGGGGCCAGUAAGGUCAUGGCAAAUCUCCUAAGGCCUGUCUGCAAAUACCAUCUAUACUUCAUCUGUUAAGAGCUUUCUGUGCCUAGGUUAAAUAAGAGGUGACAUUCCUAAUGACUCUUUAUCCUCUUCCUGAUCCCUUAAGACGCUUCUCAGCUUCAUGGGAAAGGGACCAAUGUACAACAGCGGAAAUUGUGACAUCUGCAGAAGAAAAGCUAAUCUAGAACAAGGCAGAACCUGAAUGAGUAGGUCUUGAAGACUGGAUAUUGACUGUAUUCUUUCUUUCUGCCAACUGUGUUUCUUCUAGCAGCUGGAGAAAGAGUGAGCUCUGAGUUUCUUGGCACUUUUAACAUGCCUCAGAGUUAGUGGGAGCUUCGUGCUCUUUUAGAGAUGCUUAUGGUGCUCUGUGCUUCACAACCAUGUCAUUUGACAGUAAUUGAAGUGGCAGAUACUAAAAAGGAGAACAUGCUGGACUUUGGGUAUGAGAGUAUGUGUGUGUAAUGACUACACUAGGAUGGCAGAUCAUUUUUUAAUCUAUGUGUUAAAUCUGCCAAGAACCUCUGUGUUCAGUUAACCAUACCUCAAGACAUUCCACAAGAUGGUGGUUUGUUCCAGCUGUCGUAGGAUCACUGCCUCUGGAUUGGGACAAUUAUGGUGUCCUCAUUUUUAAAUUGUAUGUUCAACAAGAAGAAAACCUGUGCUGGAGCAUGAUGGGGGAAAAUUUUGCUUUGUCUCUUUGUGACUAUAUAAAGGAGAUGACCUGAUAUGCUCAUUGUGCAAAGGGAGGUGGAGGGAAAGGAUUUCCUUCCUGAACAUGAUAGUGAAGCUCUUUAUAGAAAAGACCUCUGUAGAUUGCAUUGGAACAAUUGUAAUAGGAUUUUCAAAGUUAUUUUUUUGGCUCAAUUUUCAUUAUUACCAUUAAAUGCAUUGGAUAGAAUGGGACUGUUCUUCACAUGUCACCUGUAUAGGAAGACAUAAUUCCAGUGCCUUUAUGGUGGAGCAAAAUUAGAUAAUACACAUCCAUUUUAGCCCUCUAUCUGCUCCUGAAAAGAGAUUUUUAAAAAAAUUCUGUAUUUAAGACUUAUCCGUUUAUAUUUAAUUGAGCUUUUCAUGAUUGCACAUUGAAAGCUGCACUGUCCUGACUUGAAGGUGAUUUGGAUCCUGAGAGCCUGGUUCCAAAUCCAGGAAGAGCACCAGUUCUUUCAGCAUUUAUGUAUAUGGGUUCUAGAGCCCAGAAGCCAUUCUUGAUCAGAAUUUUCAUCUCUGUGAGUAGGCGUGAGGAGUACAGAGUCACUGAUAUACAUUCCAUUUUUUUGUUCCUAGAAAUCAGCACUCAUAGAACUUCAGUAAAAGGCUUCUUUAGUGUUCCUGUAGUGGACACAGGCUUCAAAAUCCUGGAGACUCUCCAGGUAAUUGAUUGGACUAUGCAUUAACUUAAGGGUAAUAUGCAGUUAGGUUUGGAGAGUCAAUCAAAGGCCAGAUGGUUAGGCACAA